ACUCUUCAACUUAUUGUGUCUCUAUGUUUGUUGAUGAGAGCUGAUUGUUGUGUCAUUUCCUCACUGCACAGAGAUCAGCUGUCAGUCAAACAUUAUGGGAUGUCCUUUGACAUCUUGUCAUUAGUUGUUGUGUAAAUGGUUUUGUUUCUUUAGGUGACUCCUUCCUGUGUCUGUUUAGCCACGGAGGCUAUCACUGCUCAUGAUGUUUGUUGACCUGAACUGAGAAUGAAAACUUCUCUGCUGUCUAAAUGUUUGAAUAUUUGUAUCGAUGUAUUUGUAUGUAGUAUCUCUUCACAUCAUGGGUGUAAGAGACACACACACA
Molecule: long non-coding RNA, 322 nt
Organism: Sander lucioperca (pikeperch)
Lineage: Eukaryota; Metazoa; Chordata; Actinopteri; Perciformes; Percidae
Exons: 3
Source: RefSeq, a predicted model, not a curated record